Molecule: ribosomal RNA, 591 nt
Filed under: uncultured bacterium
Lineage: Bacteria
Description: bacterial SSU rRNA
Rfam family: Bacterial small subunit ribosomal RNA
Source: RNAcentral
UCCUACGGGAGGCAGCAGUGAGGAAUAUUGCGCAAUGGGCGAAAGCCUGACGCAGCGACGCCGCGUGAAGGAUGAAGGUCUUCGGAUUGUAAACUUCUGUUAAGUGGGAAGAAAGACUCUUUCUUAAUAGGAAAGAGGGAUGACUGUACCAUUAGAGAAAGCACCGGCUAACUUCGUGCCAGCAGCCGCGGUAAUACGAGGGGUGCAAGCGUUAUUCGGAAUCAUUGGGCGUAAAGGGUGUGUAGGCGGCAAUCUAAGUCAACUGUAAAAGACUCCGGCCUAACUGGAGACCUGCGGUAGAUACUGGAUUGCUAGAGGAUGGAAGAGAGAAGUGGAAUUCUCGGAGUAGCGGUAAAAUGCGUGGAUCUCGAGAGGAACACCAAUGGCGAAGGCAGCUUCUUGGUCCAUUUCUGACGCUGAGACACGAAAGCGUGGGGAGCAAACAGGAUUAGAUACCCUGGUAGUCCACGCUGUAAACGAUGAUCACUAGACGUUAGUUCUGUUUUUACAGAGUUAGUGUCGUAGCUAACGCGAUAAGUGAUCCGCCUGGGGACUACGGUCGCAAGAUUAAAACUCAAAUGAAUUGACGGA